Molecule: ribosomal RNA, 1646 nt
Filed under: human gut metagenome
Description: bacterial LSU rRNA
Rfam family: Bacterial large subunit ribosomal RNA
Source: RNAcentral
CCAAUCAAACUGGGAAAUAGCUCGUACUCUCCGAAAUGCAUUUCGGUGCAGCCUGUGAUGUUCUGUUCCAGAGGUAGAGCUACUGGUUGGACGCGAGGGCUUCACCGCCUAUCAAAUCCGGAUAAACUCCGAAUGCUGGAACACGAAAUCAUGGAGUGAGCCCGCGGGUGCUAAGGUCCGCGGACGAGAGGGAAAGAACCCGGACCACCGGCUAAGGUCCCGGAUGGACAGUUAAGUUGAUCAAACGAGGUGGGAUCGCGGAGACAGCUAGGAUGUUGGCUUGGAAGCAGCCAUUCAUUUAAAGAGUGCGUAACAGCUCACUAGUCGAGCGAUCCCGCGUGGAUAAUACACGGGCAUCAAACUGUCAACCGAAGCCGUGGGGUUAGUGAUGAGCUAACCGGUAGGAGAGCAUUCCUGCCAGCUUUGAAGGUCACCCGCGAGAGUGACUGGAGCGGCAUGAAAAGCAAAUGUAGGCAUAAGUAACGAUAAUGGGGGCGAGAACCCCCCACGCCGCAAGACCAAGGAUUCCCCGGCAAUGUCAAUCAGCCGGGGGUCAGCCGGCCUCUAAGGCUCACCCGAGGGGGGAUGCCGACGAGAAACGGGUUAACAUUCCCGUGCUUCUCGUCACCGUGACGCGGUGACGGGGUGAUGAAUGGACCGCGCGCUGACGGAAUAGCGCGUUGAAGGCCGUACCCUAUGACGGUGGUAGUCAAGCACGCCACCCGAGGCGAAAGUCGAUAGUACCUCGAGGCCUCGGCCGAGGGGAUAGCGUCCAGGCAAUUUACCCCCUAGAAAACCCGCUAAACUUCAAGUGACGAGGAACCGUACUGUAAACGGACACACGUGGUCGGGUAGAACAUACCAAGGCGCUCGAGUGAUUCAUGGUCAAGGAACUAGGCAAAAUAGUCCUGUAACUUAGGGAUAAAGGACGCUCUAGUGAUAGAGCCGCAGAGUAAUGGCCCAGGCGACUGUUUACCAAAAACACAUGGCUAUGCCAAAUCGAAAGAUGACGUAUAUGGCCUGACACCUGCCCGGUGCCGGAAGGUUAAGAGGAGAGCUCAUCGGAAACGAGAAGGUUUGAAUUGAAGCCCCGGUAAACGGCGGCCGUAACUAUAACGGUCCUAAGGUAGCGAAAUUCCUUGUCGGGUAAGUUCCGACCUGCACGAAUGGUGUAACGAUCUGGGCACUGUCUCGACCAUGAGCUCGGUGAAAUUGUAGUUCCGGUGAAGAUGCCGGGUACCCGCGACGGGACGGAAAGACCCCGUGAACCUUUACUGCAGCUUCGCGUUGUUCCCGGGCACGGGACGUGUAGGAUAGGUCGGAGGCUACGAGUCGGUUUCGCCAGGAAUCGAGGAGCCAUCGUUGAAAUACGACCCUUCUCUUGUCUGGGAUCUAACCCAUGGUAAUGGGGACACCGCGUGGUGGGUAGUUUGACUGGGGUGGUCGCCUCCAAAAGCGUAACGGAGGCUUCCAAAGGUACCCUCGGGUUGGUUGGUAAUCAACCUUAGAGUGCAAUGGCACAAGGGUGCUUGACCGGGAGACCAACGAGUCGAUCGGGUGCGAAAGCAGGGCAUAGUGAUCCGGUGAUCCCGCGUGGAAGGGUCAUCGCUCAAAGGAUAAAAGGUACUCCGGGGAUAACAGGCUGA